AGCCAUGCAUGUCUCAGUGCAUGCCGAGCUAAGGUGAAACCGCGAAUGGCUCAUUAAAUCAGUUAUGGUUUCUUAGAUCGUACCCACAUUUACUUGGAUAACUGUGGUAAUUCUAGAGCUAAUACAUGCAAACCAGAGUUCCAACCAGAGAUGGGAGGAACGCUUUUAUUAGAUCAAAACCAAUCGGUGGCGUUUGUUAAUACAUUCGUCCACCGUUUACUUUGAUGACUCUGAAUAACUUUGAGCUGAUCGCACGGUCCUAGCACCGGCGACAAGUCUUUCAAAUGUCUGCCUUAUCAACUGUCGAUGGUAGGUUCUGCGCCUACCAUGGUUGUAACGGGUAACGGGGAAUCAGGGUUCGAUUCCGGAGAGGGAGCCUGAGAAACGGCUACCACAUCCAAGGAAGGCAGCAGGCGCGCAAAUUACCCACUCCCGGCACGGGGAGGUAGUGACGAAAAAUAACGAUACGGGACUCAUCCGAGGCCCCGUAAUCGGAAUGAGUACACUUUAAAUCCUUUAACAAGGAUCCAUUGGAGGGCAAGUCUGGUGCCAGCAGCCGCGGUAAUUCCAGCUCCAAUAGCGUAUAUUAAAGUUGUUGCGGUUAAAAAGCUCGUAGUUGAAUCUGUGUUUCACACUGUCGGUUCACCGCUCGCGGUGUUUACUGGCAUGAUGUGGGACGUCCUACCGGUGGGCUUAGCCCUUCGGGGCGGUCCAACUAAUAUCCCAUCGCG
Molecule: ribosomal RNA, 731 nt
Filed under: Polistes fuscatus (common paper wasp)
Lineage: Eukaryota; Metazoa; Arthropoda; Insecta; Hymenoptera; Vespidae
Description: SSU rRNA
Rfam family: Eukaryotic small subunit ribosomal RNA
Source: RNAcentral